AACGAACGCUGGCGGCGUGCUUAACACAUGCAAGUCGAACGGCAAGGCCCUGCUUUUGUGGGGUGCUCGGGGGGCGAACGCGUGCGUAACACGUGAGUAACCUGCCCUUCACUUUGGGAUAACUUCAGGAAACUGGGGCUACUACCGUAUAGGAUCUCCUGCUGCGUGGUGGGCGUUGGAACGUUUCGGCGGUUGGGGAUGGACUCGCGGCUUAUCAGCUUGUUGGUUGGGUAGUGGUUGACCAAGGCAUUGACGGGUAGCCGGCCUGGGAGGGUGACCGGCCACAUUGGGACUGAGAUACGGCGCAGAGUCCUACGGGAGGCAGCAGUGGGGAACAUUGCACAAUGGGCGGAAGCCUGAUGCAGCAACGCCGCGGGCGGGAUGACGGCCUUCGGGUUGUAAACAGCUGUCGCCUGUGACGAAGCGUGAGUGACGGUAAUGGGUAAAGAAGCACCGGCUAACUACGUG
RNAcentral lists this ribosomal RNA (468 nucleotides) under uncultured bacterium. RNAcentral describes it as "partial 16S ribosomal RNA". It matches the Rfam family "Bacterial small subunit ribosomal RNA", at positions 28 to 507 of the family's 1533-position model. The record is from RNAcentral.